RNAcentral lists this ribosomal RNA (991 nucleotides) under Stagonospora tauntonensis. RNAcentral describes it as "SSU rRNA". It matches the Rfam family "Eukaryotic small subunit ribosomal RNA", at positions 94 to 1094 of the family's 1831-position model. Lineage: Eukaryota; Fungi; Ascomycota; Dothideomycetes; Pleosporales; Massarinaceae. The record is from RNAcentral.
UGGCUCAUUAAAUCAGUUAUCGUUUAUUUGAUAGUACCUUACUACUUGGAUACCUGUGGUAAUUCUAGAGCUAAUACAUGCUAAAAACCCCGACUUCGGAAGGGGUGUAUUUAUUAGAUAAAAAACCAAUGCCCUUCGGGGCUCCUUGGUGAUUCAUAAUAACUUCUCAGAUCGCAUGGCCUUGCGCCGGCGACGGUUCAUUCAAAUUUCUGCCCUAUCAACUUUCGAUGGUAAGGUAUUGGCUUACCAUGGUGGCAACGGGUAACGGGGAAUUAGGGUUCGAUUCCGGAGAGUUAGCCUGAGAAACGGCUAACACAUCCAAGGAAGGCAGCAGGCGCGCAAAUUACCCAAUCCCGAUACGGGGAGGUAGUGACAAUAAAUACUGAUACAGGGCUCUUUUGGGUCUUGUAAUUGGAAUGAGUACAAUUUAAACCUCUUAACGAGGAACAAUUGGAGGGCAAGUCUGGUGCCAGCAGCCGCGGUAAUUCCAGCUCCAAUAGCGUAUAUUAAAGUUGUUGCAGUUAAAAAGCUCGUAGUUGAACCUUUGGCCUGGCUGGCAGGUCCGCCUCACCGCGUGCACUUGUCCGGCCGGGCCUUUUCUUCUGGAGAACCGCAUGCCCUUCACUGGGUGUGUUGGGGACCAGGACUUUUACUUUGAAAAAAUUAGAGUGUUCAAAGCAGGCCUUUGCUCGAAUAUUACAGCAUGGAAUAAUAGAAUAGGACGUGCGGUUCUAUUUUGUUGGUUUCUAGGACCGCCGUAAUGAUUAAUAGGGACAGUCGGGGGCAUCAGUAUUCAAUUGUCAGAGGUGAAAUUCUUGGAUUUAUUGAAGACUAACUACUGCGAAAGCAUUUGCCAAGGAUGUUUUCAUUAAUCAGUGAACGAAAGUUAGGGGAUCGAAGACGAUCAGAUACCGUCGUAGUCUUAACCAUAAACUAUGCCGACUAGGGAUCGGGCGGUGUUAUUAUUUUGACUCGCUCGGCACCUUACGAG